This 209-nucleotide long non-coding RNA is filed under the name Ananas comosus (pineapple). RNAcentral describes it as "long non-coding RNA (ACOM_LNC022685)". The record is from RNAcentral. Lineage: Eukaryota; Viridiplantae; Streptophyta; Magnoliopsida; Poales; Bromeliaceae.
AGCUUGAUUUUUUCAAUUCUCAAAAAUAAUAUAUAUAUAUAUAUAUAUAUAUAGAAUUAGGCUGGAAUACUAUUAUCUAUAGAAUUAGUCAAAAAUAAUAUAUAUAUAUAUUACUUAGUGGGUAUUAAAAUUUGAGAUGUGCUAGAUAGUUGACUGGAUAUGCUGCAUUUUAUGCAUUUCUCUUCAUGUAGAGGGAUAAAUAAGUUGCG